Rosa rugosa (rugosa rose) is the source of this 676-nucleotide long non-coding RNA. RefSeq lists it as uncharacterized. The record is from RefSeq and is a predicted model, not a curated record. The transcript has 3 exons. Lineage: Eukaryota; Viridiplantae; Streptophyta; Magnoliopsida; Rosales; Rosaceae.
CUCCUCCUCCCCGCGUCUCUCUCCCUCUUCUCUGCAACUCCGGCCACCUCUUGAUUCCGGCCACCUGGGAACGAACAAGUGCCACCGCUGGACUCCUCUACUCCUACCCAACCUCCCCACGGCGAUAACUCACGGCGGUUUGGACGGAAAAUGAAGAAUCAAGCCCGAAAACUUUACUGUAGCAAUUUGAGUCAACGCCGAUUUCUCUCGAUUCCGGCCAUCUCCAGCCACCAAACCGGCGUCGAAGGUUCGGUUUUUGACAAGGAUCAUUUUCCCCCUAGCCUUGAGCCACGAUUUGCAGUGUAGAGGAAGAAUCGACGAUUGGAAGAUUACGGUCACUAUUCACAGUUUGAGUUCAAGCUUCUCUUUAAUUGUUGAGGGUAAUGUUGCGAGCUACGGCUAGAUGAAGGGACUCGUUUGCGUGGUCGCCAACUAGUACUUUUGCAGGCGUUAUUAGUUGAGGUCGGGCGUACAUGGUUCGAGGCAUAGUUGACGAAUAGCUUCCGCACUUCUUUGUUUGGCUCUGAUCUAUUGUGGGUUACUAUUUUUGGGUAGUCCACUUUAGGGGUGACUCGACCAGUUCUCGGUAGAGUUAUCUCUAAGGUGGGCCCCGCAGGGCCACCUCGGAUUUCAAGGUGAAAUUCGGGGCGGGUCCUGUCAAUUUGGUAUCAGAGCA